This 2056-nucleotide ribosomal RNA is filed under the name Escherichia coli. RNAcentral describes it as "partial 23S ribosomal RNA". It matches the Rfam family "Bacterial large subunit ribosomal RNA", at positions 909 to 2925 of the family's 2925-position model. Lineage: Bacteria; Pseudomonadati; Pseudomonadota; Gammaproteobacteria; Enterobacterales; Enterobacteriaceae. RNAcentral also lists the same sequence under 1 other name. The record is from RNAcentral.
ACUGUUUCGGCAAGGGGGUCAUCCCGACUUACCAACCCGAUGCAAACUGCGAAUACCGGAGAAUGUUAUCACGGGAGACACACGGCGGGUGCUAACGUCCGUCGUGAAGAGGGAAACAACCCAGACCGCCAGCUAAGGUCCCAAAGUCAUGGUUAAGUGGGAAACGAUGUGGGAAGGCCCAGACAGCCAGGAUGUUGGCUUAGAAGCAGCCAUCAUUUAAAGAAAGCGUAAUAGCUCACUGGUCGAGUCGGCCUGCGCGGAAGAUGUAACGGGGCUAAACCAUGCACCGAAGCUGCGGCAGCGACACUGUGUGUUGUUGGGUAGGGGAGCGUUCUGUAAGCCUGUGAAGGUGUGCUGUGAGGCAUGCUGGAGGUAUCAGAAGUGCGAAUGCUGACAUAAGUAACGAUAAAGCGGGUGAAAAGCCCGCUCGCCGGAAGACCAAGGGUUCCUGUCCAACGUUAAUCGGGGCAGGGUGAGUCGACCCCUAAGGCGAGGCCGAAAGGCGUAGUCGAUGGGAAACAGGUUAAUAUUCCUGUACUUGGUGUUACUGCGAAGGGGGGACGGAGAAGGCUAUGUUGGCCGGGCGACGGUUGUCCCGGUUUAAGCGUGUAGGCUGGUUUUCCAGGCAAAUCCGGAAAAUCAAGGCUGAGGCGUGAUGACGAGGCACUACGGUGCUGAAGCAACAAAUGCCCUGCUUCCAGGAAAAGCCUCUAAGCAUCAGGUAACAUCAAAUCGUACCCCAAACCGACACAGGUGGUCAGGUAGAGAAUACCAAGGCGCUUGAGAGAACUCGGGUGAAGGAACUAGGCAAAAUGGUGCCGUAACUUCGGGAGAAGGCACGCUGAUAUGUAGGUGAAGUCCCUCGCGGAUGGAGCUGAAAUCAGUCGAAGAUACCAGCUGGCUGCAACUGUUUAUUAAAAACACAGCACUGUGCAAACACGAAAGUGGACGUAUACGGUGUGACGCCUGCCCGGUGCCGGAAGGUUAAUUGAUGGGGUCAGCGCAAGCGAAGCUCUUGAUCGAAGCCCCGGUAAACGGCGGCCGUAACUAUAACGGUCCUAAGGUAGCGAAAUUCCUUGUCGGGUAAGUUCCGACCUGCACGAAUGGCGUAAUGAUGGCCAGGCUGUCUCCACCCGAGACUCAGUGAAAUUGAACUCGCUGUGAAGAUGCAGUGUACCCGCGGCAAGACGGAAAGACCCCGUGAACCUUUACUAUAGCUUGACACUGAACAUUGAGCCUUGAUGUGUAGGAUAGGUGGGAGGCUUUGAAGUGUGGACGCCAGUCUGCAUGGAGCCGACCUUGAAAUACCACCCUUUAAUGUUUGAUGUUCUAACGUGGACCCGUGAUCCGGGUUGCGGACAGUGUCUGGUGGGUAGUUUGACUGGGGCGGUCUCCUCCUAAAGAGUAACGGAGGAGCACGAAGGUUGGCUAAUCCUGGUCGGACAUCAGGAGGUUAGUGCAAUGGCAUAAGCCAGCUUGACUGCGAGCGUGACGGCGCGAGCAGGUGCGAAAGCAGGUCAUAGUGAUCCGGUGGUUCUGAAUGGAAGGGCCAUCGCUCAACGGAUAAAAGGUACUCCGGGGAUAACAGGCUGAUACCGCCCAAGAGUUCAUAUCGACGGCGGUGUUUGGCACCUCGAUGUCGGCUCAUCACAUCCUGGGGCUGAAGUAGGUCCCAAGGGUAUGGCUGUUCGCCAUUUAAAGUGGUACGCGAGCUGGGUUUAGAACGUCGUGAGACAGUUCGGUCCCUAUCUGCCGUGGGCGCUGGAGAACUGAGGGGGGCUGCUCCUAGUACGAGAGGACCGGAGUGGACGCAUCACUGGUGUUCGGGUUGUCAUGCCAAUGGCACUGCCCGGUAGCUAAAUGCGGAAGAGAUAAGUGCUGAAAGCAUCUAAGCACGAAACUUGCCCCGAGAUGAGUUCUCCCUGACCCUUUAAGGGUCCUGAAGGAACGUUGAAGACGACGACGUUGAUAGGCCGGGUGUGUAAGCGCAGCGAUGCGUUGAGCUAACCGGUACUAAUGAACCGUGAGGCUUAACCUUACAACGCCGAAGGUGUUU